Non-coding RNA from Aegilops tauschii subsp. strangulata, 1141 nucleotides. NCBI's taxonomy places the organism in Eukaryota, Viridiplantae, Streptophyta, Magnoliopsida, Poales, Poaceae. The record is from RefSeq and is a predicted model, not a curated record.
UCCAUUCGCGUUCCGUAUGCAGCGGGAAUCGAAGUCGCUCGCGCGUGCAUAUGGAUCCACACCAACUGGCCCCACAGCCCAUGUGGCAUUUCCUCUCGGCCCCACCUCUAAACCAUUACCACACGGUAUACCACUGAAUACAGUCGAAUCGUAUCUGACUUUAGUGGGGCCCUAUACCUACGCCCUCCUGAGAUCGAGACGGCACACAAGCGAUGGGACUCCCGGCUCAGUUUAGAUCUGGAGAGGCGGACAAGCUCCCCGCCAGUCCACCACUGCUCCUGCUCGUCGCACUUUUCCGGUUGCCGUCGACUAGCCCACAAUAGAGGAGGCGACCUCCCUUUACCCCGCACCAUCACGGCGCCAGAAGAGGAUGAGCCCCAGGAGCGGCCAGAGAGGAGGAGAAAGAAGAGGGGAAGGAGAUGGAAGUUUCAGAUCCAAAGUUGUUGUUCUUGUUUUUCUUCCCAAAUCUGUUUGCUUUUUUGGUUUCCUGUGAUUCUAGGUUUUGAUGUGAUCUUUGUUGGUUGCUAGGAAGAAAAUGGAUGAAAAAAAUCUGCUCCUCAAAUUCGCCCAAAGAGUCCUAGAUCGGGGAUGGCCAGAGGAGGAAGACGACGGGGAGCAUAGACACCUCCGGAUCUCCAAUCCGCUUCUCCCCCCGAGGCUGUCGUAAUGCUCCUCGUCUCCAAGAACUCCUCACCAGGCUCCUACCACCAGUCGAGCAGCUUGAGGAAGUACACAGAGUUCUAGGUCGCUCUCCCAAAAAAAUAGUUCUAGGUCGCUGCAGCUCCAUGACCUCGGGGCAUGGCUCGAGGUCGGCCACUAGAUGCUCUUCGUCUUAAAUUUUGGGCGCGAAGACACGGGAAGGCCAGGCAGGAGCAUGACUCUUGUUUCACAUACCCAUCCUCUUCUUUUUCUGUGGAUUGGAAGGGGUUGCGUCUUGAUAAAUUUUGUAUAUUGCAUUCAAGAUUUGUGUUAUGCUCGUUCUUAGCACUUUUCUGGUCAAGGGAAGGUACUAGAGAACCUAGUUCUUAGCCAAAAUGCUUUUCGAGUGAAGCAGACACCAUUGCUUAAAGUAACUGACUUAAUAUUUGAGGAUUUGCAAGCACUUCUUUUAACCAAGAUAAAGUACGUACUUGGUUUCUCA